CCUACGGGUGGCAGCAGUGGGGAAUAUUGGACAAUGGGCGAAAGCCUGAUCCAGCCAUGCCGCGUGUGUGAAGAAGGCCUUCGGGUUGUAAAGCACUUUCAGUGGGGAAGAAAGCCUUGGGGCUAAUACCCUCUAGGAAGGACAUCACCCACAGAAGAAGGACCGGCUAACUCCGUGCCAGCAGCCGCGGUAAUACGGAGGGUGCGAGCGUUAAUCGGAAUUACUGGGCGUAAAGCGCGCGUAGGCGGUCUGAUAAGCCGGUUGUGAAAGCCCCGGGCUCAACCUGGGAACGGCAUCCGGAACUGUCAGGCUAGAGUGCAGGAGAGGAAGGUAGAAUUCCCGGUGUAGCGGUGAAAUGCGUAGAGAUCGGGAGGAAUACCAGUGGCGAAGGCGGCCUUCUGGACAGACACUGACGCUGAGGUGCGAAAGCGUGGGUAGCAAACAGGAUUAGAUACCCGGGUAGUC
Molecule: ribosomal RNA, 465 nt
Filed under: Vreelandella stevensii
Lineage: Bacteria; Pseudomonadati; Pseudomonadota; Gammaproteobacteria; Oceanospirillales; Halomonadaceae
Description: partial 16S ribosomal RNA
Rfam family: Bacterial small subunit ribosomal RNA
Source: RNAcentral